GGCUUCAUAGUAGCCUGAAAAUCACCAACUACGAUUCCCCCUCCUUCCUUUAUGCACCAAAAAUCAUAGAGAGUUUAUUUCAGCUGCAAUCUGGACCCCAAGAGGUAAGCUCAACUUAAACUUCUCCAUUUUCUUCUUGAGUUCGGCCUGCAAUGGUUAAGCAAAAUCCACAAUUAUGUUUCAGUUUAUUCAUUCCUGAAUUCAUUAGCACAGCAGCCAACCAAGCACAAAAAAACACAGGUGAUUGCUAAUCUCAUUUUACUCUAGUUCAUGCUAUAUGAUUUACACCAACAUGAUUUUCACAAAAGAUUAACUUACGAAAUCCAAAUACCCAACUGUUUCUAUUAAAGAAAUACCUUGACCAAUGCACCAAAAAUCAAAUUUGCAGCAAUACCCAAUUGUUUCUAUUAACUUACGAAAUCCAAAUACCCAACUGUUUCUAUUAAAGAAAUACCUUGACCAAUGCACCAAAAAUCAAAUCUUUACAAAUCCGAGAAUUUCAUUUUGCUGUUUUGGUUUGGGAAUGAGUGAAGAGAAGAGGGGGAGGUUGUCGGAGGCCCGAUGCCGGGCUGACGAUGAUGCGGCGGCCGGCGCCGCAUGAGUGGUGGCAGCCCGUGGCUGCUCACGGUGAAGGCAGGCGAGGCGGCGCGGUUUGAGGCAGGACGGUGCAAGGCGGCACCCGACGCCGCUAAACUCGGCCGAAGCAGGCGAGCGGCGGCGGUGGCGUUUCCUCCAUGGCCGUCUGCCUUCGGACACGGGCGCGAGAAUGGGGGAGGCAGAUGGGAGGAUGGUGAGAGAGAGAGAGAGAGAGAGCCGAGCACUGUUGUGAGAAAGAGAGAGAUGCAAUGUUGAUAAAUUAAGAGAUAGUGUGUGCUGCUUUAUAUAAAAAAAGAGGGGAGUCUCGAUAAAUAGAGAGAACCGAUGAU
RNAcentral lists this long non-coding RNA (926 nucleotides) under Salvia miltiorrhiza (redroot sage). RNAcentral describes it as "long non-coding RNA (SMIL_LNC008033)". Lineage: Eukaryota; Viridiplantae; Streptophyta; Magnoliopsida; Lamiales; Lamiaceae. The record is from RNAcentral.